AAAGUCUGGCUGUGCAGUGCUGCCUCUCCCAGAGGUGAAAAGACCAAUUUCAUGCUGCCUGCUGCUGCUUCAAUCUCCAGUCCUUGGCAUAAAGCACAGGCUCAUGUGACAGUCACUGGAGGACACAAAGGUAAAAAUGGAGUUUCAAGAGACUGAUUCUCACUGGCACAAUUCCAUGGAAGUCAGAUUUCUAAGCUGCAAGUGUCGUUGUUGUUUCUGGUUGUGCCUAUGGUGUCUGUGGUUGUACAGACUUAAUAGAAAAUGCUUCAUUCCUCACUUCCCAGUAUUCCAUCCACACGAAAGCACUGAAGACAGAAAUCUUCUUAUGAUCCCCCAGGCUGGUGAGUACAUGUGGGGAAUUACCCACAUCAAGUAAGUGAUGGCACUCAUGUGAACGGUGCACAUGGAAUAUUCUUUGAAAAUACUUUGUGAUCAAAGCAGAGAGAGGAAAUAAAAAUGAAUGUGUUUGCUGAAUACUGAAUAAAUUAAAUGUGAGGGUACUGCAAAUAAAAGGCAGAAUGUUC
Cygnus olor (mute swan) is the source of this 524-nucleotide long non-coding RNA. RefSeq lists it as uncharacterized. The record is from RefSeq and is a predicted model, not a curated record. The transcript has 2 exons. Lineage: Eukaryota; Metazoa; Chordata; Aves; Anseriformes; Anatidae.